Astatotilapia calliptera (eastern happy) is the source of this 2521-nucleotide long non-coding RNA. NCBI's taxonomy places the organism in Eukaryota, Metazoa, Chordata, Actinopteri, Cichliformes, Cichlidae. The record is from Ensembl.
CUGUUAUACAAACGAUUAUCUGAGUAAAUGGCUUGUGAAUCCUCAUGGCAAGUUCUCCCAGCGCAAUGAGACUCUGUAACAGGAAGUUCAGACAACAACACAUUCAUGUGUGAACACGUUACCAAGUUCUCAUGCAAACAUUCUUUUCUUGCCCUUCAAACAAGACACACAGGCAGGUAGGGCUGCAACAAACUAUUUAAACUAACACGCCUUUUAUUGCUGUCAUAUAAUACAUCUGUUUGGGGGGUUUUUAACUACAUGAAACACACAUAAAGUUAAAACCUUUCUUUUUUGUCUAUUACAUGUUGGCUUUGGCACAUAUUGGUAAAUGGCCUGCAUUUGUAUAGCGCUUUACUCAGUCCCUAAGGACCCCAAAGCGCUUUACACUACAUUCAGUCAUUCACCCAUUCACACACUGGCAAUGGCAAGAUACGUUGUAGCCACAGCUGCCCUGGGCGCACUGACAGACACGUGGCUGCCGGACACUGGUGCCACCGGGCCCUCUGUCCACCACCAGUAGGUAAACAUGGGGUAAGUAUCUUGCCCAAGGAUAUUUGGCAUGCAGCCAGGAGGCAGCGUGGGAUCAAACCACCGAUCUUCUGAUUUCUCUUUCACUGACUUGUGAACACUGUUUGUGAUCUGCCUUGUUUCUCUGUUCAUUUGUCAUUUGCCUGACAGUUAAAGGCAACCUGAGCUCGUCUCACAGCUUCCUUUGUGUCUCUGUAGGUUUCAUUUCUAACUAGUCACGAUGCCAGAGAGCGAUAGACCUCAACACACUUGGAUACCUCGAGUAAUAAGGUGUAUCUAUGGGAUUUUUCUCAUCAUGUUUAUUGUUGAGGGGAUUGUUGGAUGUGUGUACUUUAAUGACUGUCCAAGGGCGCCCUCCAUUCCCGUCAUUCUGGUUUUUUGUGGAUUCAUACCUGUCUUGUGGGGAUUGAGCCGGUUUUUGAACAGGUGCAAUAUUUUCUUCGACUGUCUGUUCCUCUACCUCUUUUUUGCCUGGUUCAUCAUCGGUAGCAUAAUCGUCUACUCCAUCUAUGAACCCGACUACAACAAGAACGCUACAGAAACCGAUCACUACUGCAACAAGACGCUCUACCUGUCUGCAUUUUGUUGCAUCACCCUGACCUACGUCCUGACAGGUGUUUAUGUUUUCACUUAUUUUUUUGCUCUCUGCACCAACCAGAUGGUUUACGAUGAUGAGGAUCGGCCACUGCUGUGGAGCUAAUCAUAUGAAUGUGUGUACGUUUGUGUGUUCCCCAACUCCUCUUAGACCAGUGGACCAAUACUGAUGAAACAGAUUAAAAUGGUUUCACAAUAAUAUAUAUCAUAUCAAAUAUAUCAAACUAUAAUGGACAUAUACUAAUAAUAAUAAUGAUGCUGGCUGUAAUAAAAUCACAAGCAAACAACAAACCAAAUAUUAUACAAAUAUUUUCAUGUGUGCUUAUAUACAGAACAUAAUACAUUUAAUGUUGGUUAAUACAGCAACAUGCAGUUUUUGAUCUUUUGUUAGAGAAAUCUUACUAUUAACAAGUCAUACAGAUGACUCAUCAUAGCAGAAUAAAUGAUCAUGAUCUUCCCUGUUUAACAAACGAAUAUAUUUUGUUUUAUUAAAUGUGUGAUUUUAUUUAUUUUCCAAUAUCCAUGCUGUUUCUUUCUUCUUCUUCUUCUUUUUAAUUGUAAGUAAAUAAAUAAAUAAAAUGGGUUAGGACAACAGGACAACCUGUUGUUGAUUGGUUCUUGUUGUUUUGAGACAGCAGCUUUGAUCAUUGAUGUGUGGUGUAGAUUUAAGCUGCUUCAAACUUCUCUUGUACCUCCGCUAGUUUGUAAGUUAACACCAGAGCACUAUUACAUUACAAACACCCCUUUUUUAUUUUAUUUUAUUUUAUUUUAUUUUAUUUUAUUUUUGCUUUGCUCUAUGCUCUAUGAGAAAACACACUUCUACCCUGUGGGGCAAGGAAUCGCCUGCAGUAAUAUUUGAGGCCACUAGAUGUCCCCCUAAUGCCUCUACAUCAUGCAGUAAAUAAUUGUUAUGACUGAAUCUCGAAUAACAAAUUUUCUCAACAUUAUUCAUUUUCUUUGCAUUAUUAAUAUAUAUCCUAUUUUGCCUUUUGACAUGAUUUUUUUUCUACACUCAACCAUCAGUGAAAUUAAAUUAUUAAAAAUAAAAGAGAGUGGUGUUGGAACUGAGAACAGGGCGUGUAUUUCACAAGAAGCAGAAAGACCUCGUCCGGCACAGGAAGUGCACUUAUACUCUGUCUACAACAAUGUUUAUGCGAAUACGAGGGGAGGCUGAUGGAAACCUCUUCUGGGAGUAAAACUGUCAGUUAGAAAAGAAGAACCAUGGCCUACUCUCAUAAGAUUCUGGGGUUUUCUUCAACAGAGGUGUUUACGUUUGUGCUCUGAUCUGUGAACACAAAAGAGACCUUCGGAAAACUGAAAACUAACACUGGAAAAAGGAUACAGUGAAUUUUCUGCAAACCCUGAGCUUUACCCCACAUUUCCUUAAAUAUACAAAAAC